CCGUCAUUGGGAGUGGAAA
Molecule: non-coding RNA, 19 nt
Filed under: Mus musculus (house mouse)
Lineage: Eukaryota; Metazoa; Chordata; Mammalia; Rodentia; Muridae
Source: RNAcentral